AGAUGUGAGGGUGAUCUGGCUGAGACAUCUGUCACCCCAUUGAUCACCUGGGUUGAUUCAGCUGAUUUGGCUGGCUAAGCAGGUGACCUCUCCUCUCUCACCAUGCCAUGUGUGUCCCUCCCAAAGCUGUGUAGUCAGUGGACGAGGAUGACUUUUCCUGAUAAAGAAGUGCCAUUCUUCGGUCAAGGGUAUAUAAGCAGCUAUGUUCUCCUGCUAAAAUCUCCAAACAAGCUUUCAAAUAAUUUUUUUAAAAAUUUAUUUUAAGCUUUCUCAUAUAAAUGACUCCAGGUUAAGGCAUUUAUUU
This 304-nucleotide small nuclear RNA is filed under the name Carlito syrichta (Philippine tarsier). Its description in RNAcentral is "7SK RNA (ENSTSYG00000023528.2)". It matches the Rfam family "7SK RNA". From Rfam's summary of the family: 7SK was discovered as an abundant small nuclear RNA in the mid-70s but a possible function has only recently been suggested. Two independent studies have found that 7SK RNA binds the CDK9/cyclin T complex (known as elongation factor P-TEFb). Lineage: Eukaryota; Metazoa; Chordata; Mammalia; Primates; Tarsiidae. The record is from RNAcentral.